This 125-nucleotide unclassified non-coding RNA is filed under the name uncultured Ascomycota. Its description in RNAcentral is "sequence contains ITS1". The record is from RNAcentral. Lineage: Eukaryota; Fungi; Ascomycota.
CUGAAUGAUCAUCCUUGAUCUUCUUACCCUCAAACCUCCGUGGAACGCAACAUGUGCUUCGGCGCCCUUUGGCGCCGCCUUUAUGCUUCAACAAUGCCCUUUGUGUCUGAAGAAUCAUAAUGUCA